AGGAUAGUAGUUAAUUUUUAACAUUUAAUUUGCAAUUAAAAAAUAUUGGAAACUCAAUCUGUCUUA
This 66-nucleotide transfer RNA is filed under the name Mandarella flaviventris. RNAcentral describes it as "tRNA-Ala". Lineage: Eukaryota; Metazoa; Arthropoda; Insecta; Coleoptera; Chrysomelidae. The record is from RNAcentral.